Molecule: long non-coding RNA, 339 nt
Organism: Papaver somniferum (opium poppy)
Lineage: Eukaryota; Viridiplantae; Streptophyta; Magnoliopsida; Ranunculales; Papaveraceae
Exons: 3
Source: RefSeq, a predicted model, not a curated record
GAACUCCAAUUUGAAUGAUUCAGGUUUCAGUUGGUGAUAUUGUGGUGACUCCAAUUUGAAUCAAUCAAUUUAUUCCAAUUUGUUCUUUUGAAGCUACUUCAGGAAAAUCAACACUUGUGGUGGUGUUGAUGGUGGAGGUGCAGGUUUUGGAGGAGGAUGAGGAGGCAGUGGUGGUACUGGAUCAGAUUUGGAAGAUAAUUUGUAUUUGGAGUUAGUGGUGGUGUUUUGGUAUGAAGCUGAGAGGUUUGGUAUGGAUGUUAGAGCUGUGUUAGACAUUGUUUCAGAUAACUUCAUAAAAGCUAAUUGCUUAAACGUGGUAAUGAUCUCGCUGGAACUGGA